AGUGAACGCUGGCGGUAGGCCUAACACAUGCAAGUCGAACGACAGCACAGUAAGUGCUUGCUCUUACGGGUGGCGAGUGGGGGACGGGUGAGGAAUACAUCGUAAUCUACUUUUUCGUGGGGGCCAACGUAGGGAAACUUACGCUAAUACCGCAUACGACCUACGGGUGGAAGCAGGGGAUCUUUUGACCUUGCGCGAAUGAAUGAGCCGAUGUCGGUUUGGCUAGUUGGCGGGGUAAACGACCACCAGGGCGGCGAUCCGUCGCUGGUGGGGGAGGAUGAUCAGCCACACUGGAACGGAGACGGGGUCCAGACUACUGCGAGAGGCAGCAGUGGGGAAUAUUAGGCAAUGGGGGCAAGCCUGAUCCAGCCAUACCGCGUGUGUGAAGGAGGCCUUCGGGUUGUGAAGCCCUUUUGUUGGGAAAGAAAAGCAGCAGGUUAAGACGCCGCGGUUGUGACGGUACCCGGAGAAUAAGCACCGGCUAACUUCGUG
RNAcentral lists this ribosomal RNA (492 nucleotides) under uncultured bacterium. RNAcentral's name for it is "partial 16S ribosomal RNA". It matches the Rfam family "Bacterial small subunit ribosomal RNA", at positions 29 to 507 of the family's 1533-position model. The record is from RNAcentral.